This 522-nucleotide ribosomal RNA is filed under the name uncultured bacterium. RNAcentral's name for it is "bacterial SSU rRNA". It matches the Rfam family "Bacterial small subunit ribosomal RNA", at positions 355 to 896 of the family's 1533-position model. The record is from RNAcentral.
UGGGGAAUAUUGGACAAUGGGGGCAACCCUGAUCCAGCAAUGCCGCGUGCGUGAAGAAGGCCUUAGGGUUGUAAAGCGCUUUCGCCCGCGACGAUGAUGACGGUAGCGGGAGAAGAAGCCCCGGCUAACUCCGUGCCAGCAGCCGCGGUAAUACGGAGGGGGCGAGCGUUGUUCGGAAUUACUGGGCGUAAAGGGCGCGUAGGCGGCCUUGUCAGUCAGGCGUGAAAGCCCCGGGCUCAACCUGGGAUGUGCGCUUGAUACUGCAAGGCUUGAGACCGGAAGAGGAUGGCGGAAUACCCAGUGUAGAGGUGAAAUUCGUAGAUAUUGGGUGGAACACCAGUGGCGAAGGCGGCCAUCUGGUCCGGAUCUGACGCUGAGGCGCGAAAGCGUGGGGAGCAAACAGGAUUAGAUACCCUGGUAGUCCACGCCGUAAACGAUGUGCGCUAGACGUCGGGAGUUAGGCUCUCGGUGUCGCAGCUAACGCAUUAAGCGCACCGCCUGGGGAGUACGGCCGCAAGGUUA